This 2841-nucleotide ribosomal RNA is filed under the name archaeon UBA583. RNAcentral describes it as "bacterial LSU rRNA". It matches the Rfam family "Archaeal large subunit ribosomal RNA". The record is from RNAcentral.
AUUACACUGUUAUGUGGAUGACUCGGCUUGAGUUGCGAAGAAGGGCGUGGUAAGCUGCGAUAAGCGUAAGGUAGGUGCAUACAACCUUUGAACUUACGAUUCCUGAAUUGGACUUCCUAAAUACUUGUUAAUCAAGAGCUUACUGGGGGAACUGAAACAUCUUAGUACCCCAAGGAAAAGAAAUCAAAUGAGAUUCUGUUAGUAAUGGCGAAUGAAAGCAGACAAGGUCAAACUGAAUCCCUUAUAGUAAUAUAAGGGAGAUGUGGUGUUGUGGAGCUCUUUUUGUACCAAUAAAACAUGUCUGAACCUUUCUGAAAAGUUAGACUUUAGAGGGUGAUAGUCCCGUAGGAUAUGUUGCAUUGGACUUUAGAGAUUUCCAGAGUAGUGUCAAUUGGAAAUUUGGCAUGAAUAUGGGGGACAUUUACCUCCAAACCUAAAUAUACCUCAAGACCGAUAGCGAAUUAGUACCGUGAGGGAAUGUUGAAAAGAGGCCGUAAAAGGCCCUGAAAAGAUCUGAAACAUAACAGUUAUAGGAUGUAGCGGCGUUACGGCGUUGCUACGUACGUUCUGAAUAACGGACCAGGGAGUUUAUUUGUUUGGCGAGACGAAAGUCGUAGGGAAACCGAGUAGUCGCAAAUUUGAGGACUAGGGUGGUAAUACUGCCUUUAGUCAAACAGGUAAAACCCGAAACGAGUUGAUCUAUGCCUGGGCAGGCUGAAGCGGAAGUAAGAUUCCGUGGAGGGCCGAAGCAGUUCCGCGUCUAUUGGUUUGUGUGACCUGGGCAUAGGGGUGAAAAGCCAAUCGAAACUCGUGAUAGCUGGUUCCAGUCAAAAUUGGCCUUAGUCAAGUCUCACUUUAGAAUGUUACAGAGGUAGAGCUACGGAUUAGGGAAUCGGGGGAAGAAAUUCCUUCAUUUCUUAGUCCAACUCCGAAUGCUGUGACUUCGUAGAUAGUGGGAAACGGGAUUACACGGGGUAAACUUGUAAUCCGCGAGGGGAACAACCCAGAAUACAGUUAAGGCCCCUAAAUGAUAAUCAAGUGAUAAAGGGUAAAGGGUGUGAGUAUUCGAAGACAAAGAGGAGGUUUGCUUAGAAGCAGCAAUCCCUUAAAGAGUGCGUAACAGCUCACUCUUCGAGAGUAUUUGCCCCGAAAAUAAUCGGGUCUAAAUUAUCUGCCGAUACUGUAUUUCACGCUCACGGAGCGUGUAAGUUAGACUGGUGACGUGCAAGGGCAGAAGCUGGGCUUGAAGGUCCAGUGGACCUUGUAGGUAUAAGAAUCCUGGUGGUAGUAGGAAACAAGCGGUGUGAGAGUCACCGCGGACGAAUGGGCAAGGGUUCCUUCUCAAUGUAAAUCAGAGAAGGGUUAGUCAUUCCUAAUCGAGACCCUAACUGGGCUCUAUCGAGAAAGGGAAACAGGUUAAUAUUCCUGUACUGUCUUAAUAAAUAUGGCAACACAAGUACUAUUUCGGACGAUUUAGGCUAUCUGCUCCCAAACAUGUUUGGGUUAAGCUUUCAAAGUCAAUGGAGUGUGGUAAUCACGAGAAGUUGAGUAAGAAGUUAUGAGUAAUUUGCGGCGAUGCCUUGAUUCUUUGAAAACGAAAUAGUAUUAAUUUAAGAUAAAUGUACCCACAACCGGCACAGGUGCCCCUAGGUGAGAAACCUAAGUCCUGAAGGGCAAAUCUUUGUAAGGGAAUUCGGCAAAUUAGCCACAUGCCUUCGGUAUAUGUGGUCCCUGGACUAUCGAAUUUAUUUUUGGUAAUUUCAGGGUGCAAUUUCUAAGGCGGCCCGACUGUUUAACUAAAACAUAGCCAACUGCUAGUCAGUAAUGAUGUGUAUAGUUGGUGAAGUCUGCCCACUGCCAGUAACUAAAACCACUUUUCAAGGUGGCCAAGGUCUGGUAAAGGGCGGGGAUAACUAUGAUCCUCUUAAGGUAACGAAAUGCCUUGCCGUUUAAUUGACGGCUUGCAUGAAUGGCGUAACGAGGUCGCCACUGUCCCUACAAAGAACCCUCCGAACACACUAUCCCGGUGCAAAAGCCGGGGACUCCAAGUGGGAAGUAAAGACCCCGUUGAACUUUACUGCAGCCUGCUAUUGUGAUCAACUUUAUAAUGUAACAAGGAGCUUCGGCAACAAGGUAGAACUUGUUGUUAUGAAGUUGAUUGCUUAUCUCUAUAUGGGAAACAGUAGUUGGUGGGCAGUUUGGCUGGGGUGGCACCCUGUUGAAAAGGUAUCAACAGGGCCCAAAGGUCAGCUCAGAAGGUUUAGAAAUCCUUCGUAGAGUGUAAGAGCAAAAGCUGGCUUUAUUGUGAUUCACACAAUGCGAAUCGCAAUUACGAAAGUAUGGUCUAACGAUCUCCAAUGUGCUCCUAAAUGGGGCCUUGGAUUGACAGAAAAGUUACCACGGGGAUAACAGAGUUGUCGCUCCUGAGAGUUCAUAUCGACGGAGCGGUUUGCUACAUCGAUGUCGGCUCAUCCUAACCUGGUAGUGCAGCAGCUACCAAAGGUGGGGGUGUUCACCCAUUAAAAGGGUUCGUGAGCUGGGUUCACAACGCUGUGAGGCAGUUGGUAUAAUAUCUGCUUGGAGUGUAUAGUAUCUGCGAGAAAGAUGCAUUUAGUACGAAAGGAACGAUGGGUCGGAGCCACUGGUGUAUCUGUUGUCAAUAUUGGCAUGCAGAGCAGCUACGCUCUCGAGGAUAAAAGCUGAAAGCAUCUAAGCUUGAAACCUCCCUCUAAAAAAGAUACAUUGGCCUCUCAUAAAAGAUGAGUUUGAUAGGCUCGGGGUGUAAUUACGAAGCUCACGCGACGUAGUCAGCCCGCGAGUACUAACGGCUAUUUUGUAUGA